GACGAACGCUGGCGGCGUGCCUAAUACAUGCAAGUUGAGCGCUGAAGGUUGGUACUUGUACCAACUGGAUGAGCAGCGAACGGGUGAGUAACGCGUGGGGAAUCUGCCUUUGAGCGGGGGACAACAUUUGGAAACGAAUGCUAAUACCGCAUAAAAACUUUAAACACAAGUUUUAAGUUUGAAAGAUGCAAUUGCAUCACUCAAAGAUGAUCCCGCGUUGUAUUAGCUAGUUGGUGAGGUAAAGGCUCACCAAGGCGAUGAUACAUAGCCGACCUGAGAGGGUGAUCGGCCACAUUCGGACUGAGACACGGCCCAAACUCCUACGGGAGGCAGCAGUAGGGAAUCUUCGGCAAUGGACGAAAGUCUGACCGAGCAACGCCGCGUGAGUGAAGAAGGUUUUCGGAUCGUAAAACUCUGUUGGUAGAGAAGAACGUUGGUGAGAGUGGAAAGCUCAUCAAGUGACGGUAACUACCCAGAAAGGGACGGCUAACUACGUG
Molecule: ribosomal RNA, 497 nt
Filed under: uncultured bacterium
Lineage: Bacteria
Description: partial 16S ribosomal RNA
Rfam family: Bacterial small subunit ribosomal RNA
Source: RNAcentral